This 255-nucleotide ribosomal RNA is filed under the name uncultured bacterium. RNAcentral's name for it is "partial 16S ribosomal RNA". It matches the Rfam family "Bacterial small subunit ribosomal RNA", at positions 524 to 776 of the family's 1533-position model. The record is from RNAcentral.
UACGUAGGGUGCAAGCGUUUGUCCGGAAUUAUUGGGCGUAAAGAGCUCGUAGGCGGUUUGUCGCGUCUGGUGUGAAAAUCCAGGGCUUAACCCUGGACCUGCAUCGGGUACGGGCAGACUAGAGUGCGGUAGGGGAGAUCGGAAUUCCUGGUGUAGCGGUGAAAUGCGCAGAGUAUCAGGAGGAACACCGGUGGCGAAGGCGGAUCUCUGGGCCGUAACUGACGCUGAGGAGCGAAAGCAUGGGGAGCGAACAGG